CAACAGGGCAUUGCCUCAGUAACGGCGAGUGAAGCGGCAAAAGCUCAAAUUUGAAAUCUGGCACCUUCGGUGUCCGAGUUGUAAUUUGAAGAAGGUAACUUUGGAGUUGGCUCUUGUCUAUGUUCCUUGGAACAGGACGUCACAGAGGGUGAGAAUCCCGUGCGAUGAGAUGCCCAAUUCUAUGUAAAGUGCUUUCGAAGAGUCGAGUUGUUUGGGAAUGCAGCUCUAAGUGGGUGGUAAAUUCCAUCUAAAGCUAAAUAUUGGCGAGAGACCGAUAGCGAACAAGUACAGUGAUGGAAAGAUGAAAAGAACUUUGAAAAGAGAGUGAAAAAGUACGUGAAAUUGUUGAAAGGGAAGGGCUUGAGAUCAGACUUGGUAUUUUGCAAGCUUUACCUUCGUGGUGGAGUCCCCUGCAGUUUACUGGGCCAGCAUCGGUUUGGAUGGUAGGAUAAUGACUUGGGAAUGUGGCUUUGCUU
This 476-nucleotide ribosomal RNA is filed under the name Schwanniomyces vanrijiae var. yarrowii. Its description in RNAcentral is "LSU rRNA". It matches the Rfam family "Eukaryotic large subunit ribosomal RNA", at positions 66 to 546 of the family's 3401-position model. The record is from RNAcentral. Lineage: Eukaryota; Fungi; Ascomycota; Pichiomycetes; Serinales; Debaryomycetaceae.